This is a regulatory RNA element of Vagococcus lutrae LBD1, 127 nucleotides long. It matches the Rfam family "Ribosomal protein L10 leader". Rfam says of the family: This family is a putative r-protein leader autoregulatory structure found in B. subtilis and other low-GC Gram-positive bacteria. It is located in the 5' untranslated regions of mRNAs encoding ribosomal proteins L10 and L12 (rplJ-rplL). The record is from Rfam. Lineage: Bacteria; Bacillati; Bacillota; Bacilli; Lactobacillales; Enterococcaceae.
GUUAAGAAAUUAAUAGUACCGAAGACAGUAGGAGGCUUACACCUUAAUAUUUCCUACCGAGGACAACAUUGAGAUAAUCAAUAGUCCCUCUAUGUCAACGGUGGCAUGGAGUUUUUUCGUUUUAUAU